AGCAGCCGCGGUAAUUCCAGCUCCAAUAGCGUAUAUUAAAGUUGUUGCAGUUAAAAAGCUCGUAGUUGAAUUUCGGGAUCAGUUGGUCGGUCGUGCCUCGGUACGUACUGGUCAAAUUGAUUCCUACCUUCUGACGAACCACGAUGUCAUUAAUUUGGUGUCGCGGGAAAUCAGGACUGUUACUUUGAAAAAAUUAGAGUGCUUAAAGCAGGCUCGCGCUUGAAUACAUUAGCAUGGAAUAAUGAAAUAGGACGUUUGAUUCUAUUUUGUUGGUUUCUAGGAUCGACGUAAUGAUUAAUAGGGAUAGUUGGGGGCAUUAGUAUUCAAUUGUCAGAGGUGAAAUUCUUGGAUUUAUUGAAGACUAACUACUGCGAAAGCAUUUGCCAAGGAUGUUUUCAUUAAUCAAGAACGAAAGUUAGGGGAUCGAAGACGAUCAGAUACCGUCGUAGUCUUAACCAUAAACUAUGCCGACUAGGGAUCGGAUGAUGUUAAUUUUUUAAUGACUCAUUCGGCGCCUUAC
Molecule: unclassified non-coding RNA, 520 nt
Filed under: uncultured Glomus
Lineage: Eukaryota; Fungi; Glomeromycota; Glomeromycetes; Glomerales; Glomeraceae
Description: SSU rRNA
Rfam family: Eukaryotic small subunit ribosomal RNA
Source: RNAcentral